RNAcentral lists this ribosomal RNA (468 nucleotides) under uncultured bacterium. Its description in RNAcentral is "partial 16S ribosomal RNA". It matches the Rfam family "Bacterial small subunit ribosomal RNA", at positions 28 to 507 of the family's 1533-position model. The record is from RNAcentral.
GAUGAACGCUGGCGGCGUGCUUAACACAUGCAAGUCGAACGGAAAGGCCGAAGCUUGCUUCGGUGCUCGAGUGGCGAACGGGUGAGUAACACGUGGGUGAUCUGCCCUGUACUUUGGGAUAAGCUUGGGAAACUGGGGCUAAUACCGGAUAUGACGAUCUGCUGCAUGGGGGUGGGGAGAGAUUUUGCGCGGUGGGAGGAGCUCGCGGGCUAUCAGAGUGUGGUUGGGGGGAUGGGCUAUCAAGGCGUCGUCGCGUAGACGGGCUGUGAGAGUGUAAGGCGACAUUGUGGGUGAGAGAUGGCGCCGACACCUACAGGGGGCAGCAGUGGGGAAUAUUGCGCAAUAUGCGCAAGACUGAGGCGGAGACGCCGCGUGGGGGAUGACGGCCUUUGGGGUGUAAACUCCUUUCUCAAUCGUGGAAGACUGUUAGUGACGGUAGGUUGUGAAGAAGCACCGGCUAACUACGUG